UCCAGGACUGUCCAACUAGACUGUUUUCUGUUUGGUUUUGUGUACUUUCAAGAAGUAGUAUUCUGAGAACUGUGAAGCAAGAGA
This is a non-coding RNA of Vicugna pacos (alpaca), 84 nucleotides long. Lineage: Eukaryota; Metazoa; Chordata; Mammalia; Artiodactyla; Camelidae. The record is from RefSeq and is a predicted model, not a curated record.